AACGAACGCUGGCGGCAGGCCUAACACAUGCAAGUCGAACGCUGUAGCAAUACAGAGUGGCAGACGGGUGAGUAACGCGUGGGAACCUUCCCAAUGGUACGGAAUAGCUCAGGGAAACUUGAGGUAAUACCGUAUAAGCCCCUAGGGGGAAAGAUUUAUCGCCAUUGGAUGGGCCCGCGUCGGAUUAGCUAGUUGGUGGGGUAAUGGCCUACCAAGGCGACGAUCCGUAGCUGGUUGGAGAGAAUGACCAGCCACACUGGGACUGAGACACGGCCCAGACUCCUACGGGAGGCAGCAGUGGGGAAUCUUGGACAAUGGGCGCAAGCCUGAUCCAGCCAUGCCGCGUGAGUGACGAAGGCCUUAGGGUUGUAAAGCUCUUUUGCCGGGGACGAUAAUGACGGUACCCGGAGAAUAAGUCCCGGCUAACUUCGUGCCAGCCGCCGCCGUAA
RNAcentral lists this ribosomal RNA (449 nucleotides) under uncultured bacterium. Its description in RNAcentral is "partial 16S ribosomal RNA". It matches the Rfam family "Bacterial small subunit ribosomal RNA", at positions 29 to 523 of the family's 1533-position model. The record is from RNAcentral.